Long non-coding RNA from Populus euphratica (Euphrates poplar), 370 nucleotides. RefSeq lists it as uncharacterized. Lineage: Eukaryota; Viridiplantae; Streptophyta; Magnoliopsida; Malpighiales; Salicaceae. The record is from RefSeq and is a predicted model, not a curated record. The transcript has 5 exons.
UUAGGUGCAUAGUUAUGAUUGGUUCUACAAUCUAUUUUUUAUGCUGUUAAAUUGUUUGUUGGGUUUGGGUAGAGCCAAUUUUUGAGAAAGGUCUGGACCAAUCAACCAUGGAUGAAGCUCGUAUUUUACUGGGGCGUAUUUUGGAUGCUUUUGUUGGCAAAUUUAGCACUUUCAAGCGCAUCAUUCCACAGCUGUUGGAAGAGGUAAGGAGGGAAGGGAGCAUGCUACAAUGAGGUCAAAGCUUGAACUCCCUGUGCAGGCAGUUUUGAAUCUGCAAGUUCCAGUGGAACAUUCCAAGGAAGUCAGUGAUUGUAAGAAUCUGAUCAAGACCUUAGUUAUGGAGAACUUAAGAAUCUCUGGGUUAUGUUUU